GCAUAUCAAUAAGCGGAGGAAAGGAAACCAACAGGGAUUGCCCCAGUAACGGCGAGUGAAGCGGCAACAGCUCAAAUUUGAAAUCUGGCCCUUGGGUCCGAGUUGUAAUUUGUAGAGGAUGCUUUUGGCGAGGUGCCUUCCGAGUUCCCUGGAACGGGACGCCAUAGAGGGUGAGAGCCCCGUCUGGUCGGACACCGAGCCUCUGUAAAGCUCCUUCGACGAGUCGAGUAGUUUGGGAAUGCUGCUCAAAAUGGGAGGUAUAUGUCUUCUAAAGCUAAAUAUUGGCCAGAGACCGAUAGCGCACAAGUAGAGUGAUCGAAAGAUGAAAAGCACUUUGAAAAGAGGGUUAAAAAGUACGUGAAAUUGUUGAAAGGGAAGCGCCUAUGACCAGACUUGGGCCCGGUGAAUCAUCCAGCGUUCUCGCUGGUGCACUUUGCCGGGCACAGGCCAGCAUCAGUUUGGCGCGGGGGAAAAAGGCUUUGGGAAUGUGGCUCCCUCGGGAGUGUUAUAGCCCAUUGUGUAAUACCCUGCGCCGGACUGAGGUACGCGCAUUGCAAGGAUGCUGGCGUAAUGGUCAUCAGCGACCCGUCUUGAAACACGGACC
This 604-nucleotide ribosomal RNA is filed under the name Hypocreales sp. VL7. Its description in RNAcentral is "eukaryotic LSU rRNA". It matches the Rfam family "Eukaryotic large subunit ribosomal RNA", at positions 38 to 667 of the family's 3401-position model. The record is from RNAcentral. Lineage: Eukaryota; Fungi; Ascomycota; Sordariomycetes; Hypocreales.